This 253-nucleotide ribosomal RNA is filed under the name uncultured bacterium. Its description in RNAcentral is "partial 16S ribosomal RNA". It matches the Rfam family "Bacterial small subunit ribosomal RNA", at positions 524 to 776 of the family's 1533-position model. The record is from RNAcentral.
UACGUAGGGGGCAAGCGUUGUCCGGAUUUAUUGGGCGUAAAGAGCGUGUAGGCGGCCAAGCAGGUCCGCUGUGAAAACUCGAGGCUCAACCUCGAGACGUCGGUGGAAACCGUUUGGCUAGAGUCCGGAAGAGGAGAGUGGAAUUCCCGGUGUAGCGGUGAAAUGCGCAGAUAUCGGGAGGAACACCUGUGGCGAAGGCGGCCCCCUGGUUGGAUACUGACGCUGAGACGCGAAAGCGUGGGGAGCAAACAGG